Notolabrus celidotus (New Zealand spotty) is the source of this 360-nucleotide long non-coding RNA. RefSeq lists it as uncharacterized. The transcript is spliced from 4 exons. The record is from RefSeq and is a predicted model, not a curated record. Lineage: Eukaryota; Metazoa; Chordata; Actinopteri; Labriformes; Labridae.
GCUGCCUCUUUGUCUGGUUUGCCUGCUGGUUGCCACAUGCUCCUUGCACUGAGCCCCCUGUCUGCCUCUCUGCCUUGAGUGAACUGCUGUCUGGUUUGAUAAGUGAGGUGGUUGCCAGCUGCUGGUCGAGGCUAGGCACUCUAGGUGGUUCCCUGCACUGUUUGUAGUGGACUUUUACAAGGGGCUCUAGCGAUGAAGUAAACGAUAAGGGUGAGAGGGGUCGCCCUGUUUUGUUCCUUGACCAGGGGUUUCCAAAGAGGGUCACAGUUGAGUUUGAGAAGAGGCCCAAGGGCCAGCAGCACCUGCUCACAUUUUUCACCUCAAACAUUAAAAAAAACACAUGAAUGUUCUAUCUUUUAA